GGGGGUGUAGCUCAGAUGGUAGAGCGCUCGCUUAGCAUGCGAGAAGUACGGGGAUCGAUCCCCCGCACCUCCA
Molecule: transfer RNA, 73 nt
Filed under: Thrips palmi
Lineage: Eukaryota; Metazoa; Arthropoda; Insecta; Thysanoptera; Thripidae
Description: tRNA-Ala
Rfam family: tRNA
About the family: Transfer RNA (tRNA) molecules are approximately 80 nucleotides in length. Their secondary structure includes four short double-helical elements and three loops (D, anti-codon, and T loops).
Source: Rfam by way of RNAcentral